GAAAAACAAGCGCAGUCGCGCCACUUAUCUUCAUUAGAACUCUAUUGAAUACAUCUGAUCCUGGAAAUAUUUUGGGUUUUAUCGUAAAAAUGGGAUGUAUCACGACAAAAUUCAUUAACCCUAUUACCGGGGUGAGCACUUGUGACAAAAAGGGGUUCGACGCAUCGGGUUUCAUUGCAAUAAAGUCUCAGUAAUAAUAAGCAAUUCCAUCAUCGGAAGAGACAAGCCUAGAUAACUGCAGGAGGUGGACGGCAAUUGCAACAGCUAUGAAAUGUGGGAUGCACACUUUGCAAACACCCGAAGAAAAAAGAAAAAAACCACCAGGAAAAGAAAGAUGACCGAGAGAACGCGCUCAUAAUUUCAACGAACGCGUGUGCACGAUGCCCGAGUGAUGGCGAUCGGACCUCCUCAAUGAUACCAAUACGGACGGAAUCCUUUUUGGCAAAACUCUCGAAUCUUUGGUUGCAGAGAUCGCUAAGAGAUGAGAAGGUAG
This is a long non-coding RNA of Athalia rosae (coleseed sawfly), 493 nucleotides long. RefSeq lists it as uncharacterized. The record is from RefSeq and is a predicted model, not a curated record. Lineage: Eukaryota; Metazoa; Arthropoda; Insecta; Hymenoptera; Athaliidae. The transcript has 3 exons.